Molecule: ribosomal RNA, 497 nt
Filed under: uncultured bacterium
Lineage: Bacteria
Description: partial 16S ribosomal RNA
Rfam family: Bacterial small subunit ribosomal RNA
Source: RNAcentral
GAUGAACGCUGGCGGCGUGCCUAAUACAUGCAAGUCGAGCGCACGGAUGAGGUGCUUGCUCCUCUGAUGUUAGCGGCGGACGGGUGAGUAACACGUGUAUAACCUACCUAUAAGACUGGGAUAACUUCGGGAAACCAGAGCUAAUACCGCAUAAUAACUUGAACCGCAUGGUUCAAAAGUGAAAGACGCACUUGCUGUCAUUUAUAGAUGUAUCCGUGCUGCAUUAGCUAGUUGGUAAGGAAACGGCUUACCAAGGCAACGAUCCGUAGCCGACCUGAGAGGGUGAUCGGCCACACUGGAACUGAGACACGGUCCAGACUCCUACGGGAGGCAGCAGAAGGGAUUCUUCCGAAAUGGGCGAAGUCCUGACGGGGCAACGCCGGGUGAGGAAGGAAGGUCUUCGGAUCGAAAAACUCUGUGAUUAGGGAAGAACAUAGGGGGAAGGAACAGUGCACAUCUUGACGGUACCUAAUCAGAAAGCCACGGCUAACUACGUG